UAGCGGAGUGGUUAACGCGUCAGCCUGCUAAGCUGAUUCCUUCGGGAGCGUGUGUUCGAAUCACAC
Transfer RNA from Pseudocercospora fijiensis CIRAD86, 66 nucleotides. It matches the Rfam family "tRNA", at positions 8 to 63 of the family's 71-position model. Rfam says of the family: Transfer RNA (tRNA) molecules are approximately 80 nucleotides in length. Their secondary structure includes four short double-helical elements and three loops (D, anti-codon, and T loops). NCBI's taxonomy places the organism in Eukaryota, Fungi, Ascomycota, Dothideomycetes, Mycosphaerellales, Mycosphaerellaceae. The record is from Rfam.